UUUAAACUUAUCUGGUAGACUCAGGCUCGCUUUUCCUGUCCGUCCGGGUCACCGGACUCCAGCUCCUCCUCUCCGAGGUGAGUGGCGGUCCCGAGCUGCCUCUGAGUGGCUCAUACCUGGCUCAAGUAUCACCUUCCUUUCCGCCUUCCAAGUGACUAGAGGUCCUGGGCCAGUCUCCCUAAAUCAAAAGGCGCUCCGGCCUCCAGCAGAAAUUUCUGCUGAGGGCUUGCACCGUGGUCCUGGAAGCUUGAAGAUUUCAGAUUGUUAAUCCUGCUUUAUUUGCGGGAAAAAGUGACUCUAGACCAUUUUGUCUUUUAGAAUAUUUGCCUGACUAGAGAAAGGUCCAAUCCAAGGUCCCAGAAGACCUAGCUGCUAUCCACAAAGACAUCUGGAGUGUCUGGCCUAAGGAAGUGAACUACAAGGGUUUAUAGGAUUUAUUAUAAAAAGAACUCAAAUUGGCUCCCUAAGUUGCCUGGGAUUCUGGCUUUUUUUUUUUUUUUUUUUUUAACUCUAGGUUGGUGUAACAUAUACAAGGGACUACUGGGACAUUCCGGUUUCUUACUAAGUCUUCUCUAGGUAUUGUGUUCUUGCUUCUCUUCCAGCUUGUAAAAUGCAAGUAAUACAAAUGUUUUCUCUAUUACACUACAUCUAGUAUAAUAUAUUGUAUUCAGAAGUCAUUGAAAACCCAUUGAAACUUGGAAAGUUAAAAUGCUUAUUAAAUUGAACAACAGGAAUUUUGUUUGCAUCUCCCAAGUGUUCAGCCCUAUGCUAAUUAGACAAAAAAGGAUCCUUGACCUCAAGGCAUUUGCGGUCUGAUAGGGGACAUAUUAGGAGUAAGAAACAAUCAAAAUGGCCAAUAGUAGUCAUUAAUCAUAGCAUGUAAUUAAGUAUCAAAUUGCACUUUAUAAGUCACACUAAAAUUUAAAAGUAAUACUGUUUUAAAUAAUGGAACAUUGAUUCCAUUUUGUUGAAUGAAUGAAAUUUGGAAGCUAGGUAUUAAAGAAGACUGAGGAAAAUUCAAGUGACUUGAAUUUAAUUCCCUCACUUCUUAUACCCCAAGAGAGGAAGUUCCAAAAUUCUCAACAAGUGCCCAUAGUGUGAUCCAGUCUUCAUUCACUGUUUUUUUCAAUAAAAGAAUAAACAGUU
Cebus imitator (Panamanian white-faced capuchin) is the source of this 1146-nucleotide long non-coding RNA. RefSeq lists it as uncharacterized. NCBI's taxonomy places the organism in Eukaryota, Metazoa, Chordata, Mammalia, Primates, Cebidae. The record is from RefSeq and is a predicted model, not a curated record. The transcript has 2 exons.